GAUGAACGCUGGCGGCGUGCCUAACACAUGCAAGUCGAGCGGACGGACGGGAAUCUUGCUUGUCUGAAGUUAGCGACGGAUGGGUGAGUCACAGGAAGAUAACCUGUAUAGGAGGCUGGCAUAACUACAGGAGACCUAAUACAACAUACGACGAUAUGUUGAAACGGAGGGAUCUUAGGACAUCGCGCGAUUAGAUGAGCCUUCGACGUAUUAGCUAGUUGCUGUGGUAAAGGCUUACCAAGACGACGUUCCAUAGCUGAUCUGAGAGGCUGACCGGCCACACUGGAACUGAGACACGGUCCAGACUCCUACGGGAGGCAGCAGUGGGGAAUCUUCGACAAUGGGCGAAAGCCUGACGCAGCAAUGCCGCGUGAGUGAUGAAGGUCUUCGGAUCGUAAAGCACUGUUAGUUGGGAAGAACAGAAGUGUGAGAAUACCUGGAUAUCUUGACGGUACCUAAACAAAAAGCCCCGGCUAACUACGUG
This 484-nucleotide ribosomal RNA is filed under the name uncultured bacterium. Its description in RNAcentral is "partial 16S ribosomal RNA". It matches the Rfam family "Bacterial small subunit ribosomal RNA", at positions 28 to 507 of the family's 1533-position model. The record is from RNAcentral.